UUCGGGUUGUCAUGCCAAUGGCACUGCCCGGUAGCUAAAUGCGGAAGAGAUAAGUGCUGAAAGCAUCUAAGCACGAAACUUGCCCCGAGAUGAGUUCUCCCUGACCCUUUAAGGGUCCUGAAGGAACGUUGAAGACGACGACGUUGAUAGGCCGGGUGUGUAAGCGCAGCGAUGCGUUGAGCUAACCGGUACUAAUGAACCGUGAGGCUUAACCUUACAACGCCGAAGGUGUUU
Molecule: ribosomal RNA, 234 nt
Filed under: Escherichia coli
Lineage: Bacteria; Pseudomonadati; Pseudomonadota; Gammaproteobacteria; Enterobacterales; Enterobacteriaceae
Description: partial 23S ribosomal RNA
Rfam family: Bacterial large subunit ribosomal RNA
Source: RNAcentral